RNAcentral lists this transfer RNA (73 nucleotides) under Candidatus Parcubacteria bacterium. RNAcentral describes it as "tRNA-Val". It matches the Rfam family "tRNA". From Rfam's summary of the family: Transfer RNA (tRNA) molecules are approximately 80 nucleotides in length. Their secondary structure includes four short double-helical elements and three loops (D, anti-codon, and T loops). The record is from RNAcentral. Lineage: Bacteria; Candidatus Parcubacteria.
GGGCGAGUAGCUCAGGGGCAAGAGCGUUCGCCUUACACGCGAAAGGCCGGAGGUUCGAAUCCUCCCUCGCCCA